Molecule: ribosomal RNA, 336 nt
Filed under: Staphylococcus chromogenes
Lineage: Bacteria; Bacillati; Bacillota; Bacilli; Caryophanales; Staphylococcaceae
Description: bacterial SSU rRNA
Rfam family: Bacterial small subunit ribosomal RNA
Source: RNAcentral
CGGACGUGGUGAGGUAACACGUGGGUAACCUACCUAUAAGACUGGAAUAACUCCGGGAAACCGGGGCUAAUGCCGGGAUAACAUAUCGAACCGCAUGGUUCGAUAGUGAAAGACGGUCUUGCUGUCACUUAUAGAUGGACCCGCGCCGUAUUAGCUAGUUGGUGAGGUAACGNGCUCACCAAGGCAACGAUACAGUAGCCGACCUGAGAGGGUGAUCGGCCACACUGGAACUGAGACACGGUCCAGACUCCUACGGGAGGCAGCAGUAGGGAAUCUUCCGCAAUGGGCGAAAGCCUGACGGAGCAACGCCGCGUGAGUGAUGAAGGUCUUCGGAUC